AGAUGCCUGGAAUGUUCGUUACCCUCGUUUUUGAACCUUCAUGACAGAAACGGGAGCUCGGGUUAAUGUGGAAUAAAGUCAUACCCCCGGACUUCGGUCCGAAAGGGGAAGGCUAAAGACCACUGCAGGGCACCCACCUAGUAGAGAUGCUGGGUGUCAAAAGGGGGUACGGCAUCCCGGGCAUUCU
RNAcentral lists this non-coding RNA (187 nucleotides) under Clostridiaceae bacterium. RNAcentral's name for it is "6S RNA". It matches the Rfam family "6S / SsrS RNA". Rfam says of the family: E. coli 6S RNA was the first non coding RNA to be sequenced, but its function was unknown until recently. It consists of 184 nucleotides that fold into an extended hairpin structure with a large single-stranded internal bulge. RNAcentral also lists the same sequence under 2 other names. Lineage: Bacteria; Bacillati; Bacillota; Clostridia; Eubacteriales; Clostridiaceae. The record is from RNAcentral.